UGGGGAAUAUUGCACAAUGGGCGGUAGCCUGAUGCAGCGACGCCGCGUGAGGGAUGACGGCCUUCGGGUUGUAAACCUCUUUCAGCAGGGACGAAGCGAGAGUGACGGUACCUGCAGAAGAAGCGCCGGCCAACUACGUGCCAGCAGCCGCGGUAAGACGUAGGGCGCGAGCGUUGUCCGGAUUUAUUGGGCGUAAAGAGCUCGUAGGCGGCUUGUCGCGUCGACUGUGAAAACCCGCAGCUCAACUGCGGGCCUGCAGCCGAUACGGGCAGGCUAGAGUUCGGUAGGGGAGACUGGAAUUCCUGGUGUAGCGGUGAAAUGCGCAGAUAUCAGGAGGAACACCGGUGGCGAAGGCGGGUCUCUGGGCCGAUACUGACGCUGAGGAGCGAAAGCGUGGGGAGCGAACAGG
Molecule: ribosomal RNA, 409 nt
Filed under: Acidobacteriota bacterium
Lineage: Bacteria; Pseudomonadati; Acidobacteriota
Description: Acidobacteria bacterium partial 16S ribosomal RNA
Rfam family: Bacterial small subunit ribosomal RNA
Source: RNAcentral